UACGGGGGGAGCAAGCGUUGUUCGGAUUUACUGGGCGUAAAGGGCGCGUAGGCGGUCAGCACAAGUCAAUUGUGAAAUCUCCGAGCUUAACUCGGAAAGGUCAACUGAAACUGUGCGACUAGAGUGCGGAAGGGGCAACUGGAAUUCUUGGUGUAGCGGUGAAAUGCGUAGAUAUCAAGAGGAACACCUGCGGCGAAGGCGGGUUGCUGGGCCGACACUGACGCUGAAGCGCGAAAGCCAGGGGAACGAACGGG
Molecule: ribosomal RNA, 254 nt
Filed under: uncultured bacterium
Lineage: Bacteria
Description: partial 16S ribosomal RNA
Rfam family: Bacterial small subunit ribosomal RNA
Source: RNAcentral